This 1214-nucleotide long non-coding RNA is filed under the name Marmota monax (woodchuck). The record is from RNAcentral. Lineage: Eukaryota; Metazoa; Chordata; Mammalia; Rodentia; Sciuridae.
CACAGACAAGCACCCACACAGACACAGAGGGAGGGGGUUGGGAUGGAGAGGGGCGCACAGCAGGGCAAGUAGGACCCCCAGGACCUCUCCCAAAAUAGCCUCCCCACCUUCGACCCCUUUCUCCUCCCCAUGGUAGGAACACACUGUGUUUAUAUUUCAUGGCCAAAUUAUUUUGGAUUUUGUUGACUGGCCCUUAGUGCCCUGCCCUCUCCCCUUUGCAGGACCACAGCCCCCUCCCUCUGUUCCUCCCUGGUCCCAGCUCUGGUUUUCCUUGUUUCUUAGUUGGUUCUCUUUUGCCUUCCCCAACAGGCUCCCACCCCCACAAUCCUGAGGCCCCUGUCCCUCUCUUCCUCUCAGGGGCAGUUUCAUAUUUCCUAUGACAAAAUUGCUCUUUAAACAUUUUGUUGUAUUAAAAAUAAAUAAAUAAAAAUUUUAAAAAUAAAAAUUUUCACAUGCUUUUGCUGCAUUUUUGAGAUGCUCCUAUGUCCUUUCUUUUCUUAUUCUGUUAAAAUGGUGCAUUAUAUCCCCUCAGAACGGCAAUUAUCAAGAAUACAAGUAACAAUAAAAAUUGGCAAGGAUGUGGGGAAAAGAGAAAUUCCUGGUAGAACUGCAAACUGGUGCAUCCACUCUGGAAAGGAAUAUGGAGAUUCCUCAGAAAACUUGGAAUGGAACCACUAUUUGACCCACUCCUUGGCAUAUAUCCAAAGGACUUAAAAUUACCAUACUAUAGUGAUGAGCCACAUCAGUGUUUUGAGCAGCUCAAUUCACACUAGCUAAGCUAUGGAACUGACCUAGAUGCCUUUCAACAGAUGGAUGGAUAAAGAAAAUAUGGGACAUCUAACACAAUGGAAUAUUAGCCAUAAAGAAGAAGGAAAAUAUGGCAUUUUCUGGAAAAUGGAUGGAACUGAGGACUCUCAUGUUAAUCUCCAAAAACCAAAGACCAAAUGUUAUCUCUGAUAUACAGAUGACUCACAAUAGGUGGUGGUGGGGAGUGGAAGUUCACCAAAUUGGACAGAGAAGAAUGGUGGGAAGGAAGGGGAGAUGGGAAUGGGAAAGACACUAGAAUGAAUUUGAUAUAACUUUCCUAUGUUCAUGAUCACUGUAACUCCACAUCAUGUACAACCACAAGAAUGGGAAGUUCUACUCCAUAUAUAUAUAUGAAAGAUAUGUCAAAAUACAUUCUACUAUCAUGUAUAACUAAAAAGAACAGAUAA